UACGGAGGAUCCAAGCGUUAUCCGGAUUUAUUGGGUUUAAAGGGUGCGUAGGCGGGAGAUUAAGUCGGUGGUGAAAUUUUGCAGCUCAACUGUAAAAGUGCCAUUGAUACUGGUUUCCUUGAGUGUGGAUGAAGUAGGCGGAAUUUGUGGUGUAGCGGUGAAAUGCUUAGAUAUGACGAGGAACUCCUAUUGCGAAGGCAGCUUGCUGGGUCGUUACUGACGCUGAUGCUCGAAGGUGCGGGGAUCAAACAGGAUUAGAUACCCU
Molecule: ribosomal RNA, 265 nt
Filed under: uncultured prokaryote
Description: partial 16S ribosomal RNA
Rfam family: Bacterial small subunit ribosomal RNA
Source: RNAcentral